GGAAGCGUGACCGAGUGGCCGAAGGUGCUCCCCUGCUAAGGGAGUAUGGGGUGUAGAGCCUCAUCGAGGGUUCGAAUCCCUCCGCUUCCGCCA
Molecule: transfer RNA, 93 nt
Filed under: Betaproteobacteria bacterium
Lineage: Bacteria; Pseudomonadati; Pseudomonadota; Betaproteobacteria
Also listed under: 2 other names
Description: tRNA-Ser
Rfam family: tRNA
About the family: Transfer RNA (tRNA) molecules are approximately 80 nucleotides in length.
Source: RNAcentral